Molecule: long non-coding RNA, 532 nt
Organism: Entelurus aequoreus (snake pipefish)
Lineage: Eukaryota; Metazoa; Chordata; Actinopteri; Syngnathiformes; Syngnathidae
Exons: 4
Source: RefSeq, a predicted model, not a curated record
ACAAUGACAACUUGCUGCCAGAAAGGCUCAUAAGAGAGGAAGUCAACGCUUACCCACAAUCCUCUGCGGUGCUAAAGUGACCUCUGCUGCUAACUCCCAGCCGUUAAAGUCGUAAAGUCAUGGCUCCUCCGGUUGCGGUGUCUCCGUUGAUUAAGACUGCCAGGUAUUCAGCGUUGAUUGUUGGCGUCUUGUAUGGCAAAAUGAGAUAUGCCAAACUGAAGCCUAUUGCGGCCGAGGAGCGGAGGAUCGAAGAAGAGGAGAAGAAGAUCCACGAGGAGCAGGAGCGCAUCGCCAAGCAGCUUGCAGAAGCAAAUGAAGAAACCAUCCUGAAAUAGACCUUCACUUCCAGGACAAUUUUCAUUCUAGAGUAACUCCAACAACAUCCAUGCUGGGUCAUUCACUCACCCUGGAUGUGGAGAAGUAUUUUAUUCCUGCUUGUUAGAAACCCUCAUAUGGAUUCAUGUCUCUGGAACUGUAAAUAUUAAGUUCAGACUUGGUAAUAAAUCAUGUCGUUAACAAAUGUAUGUAAUAA